ACCCGCUGAACUUAAGCAUAUCAAUAAGCGGAGGAAAAGAAACCAACAGGGAUUGCCCUAGUAACGGCGAGUGAAGCGGCAACAGCUCAAAUUUGAAAUCUGGCCCCCGGGUCCGAGUUGUAAUUUGUAGAGGAUGCUUUUGGUGCGGUACCUUCCGAGUUCCCUGGAACGGGACGCCAUAGAGGGUGAGAGCCCCGUCUGGUUGGACGCCAAUCCUUUGUAAAGCUCCUUCAACGAGUCGAGUAGUUUGGGAAUGCUGCUCUAAAUGGGAGGUAUAUGUCUUCUAAAGCUAAAUAUUGGCCAGAGACCGAUAGCGCACAAGUAGAGUGAUCGAAAGAUGAAAAGCACUUUGAAAAGAGAGUUAAAAAGUACGUGAAAUUGUUGAAAGGGAAGCGCUCAUGACCAGACUUGGGCUUGGUUGAUCAUCCAGGGUUCUCCCUGGUGCACUCUUCCAGCCCAGGCCAGCAUCAGUUCGCUGUGGGGGAUAAAGGCUUCGGGAAUGUGGCUCCCUCGGGAGUGUUAUAGCCCGUUGUGUAAUACCCUGUGGUGGACUGAGGUUCGCGCAUUCGCAAGGAUGCUGGCGUAAUGGUCAUCAGCGACCCGUCUUGAAACACGG
This 616-nucleotide ribosomal RNA is filed under the name uncultured fungus. Its description in RNAcentral is "eukaryotic LSU rRNA". It matches the Rfam family "Eukaryotic large subunit ribosomal RNA", at positions 23 to 664 of the family's 3401-position model. Lineage: Eukaryota; Fungi. The record is from RNAcentral.